GGGGUUGUGGCUCAGUGGUAGAGCGCUUGCCUGGCCCAUGUGAGACACAGGGUUCAAUCCUCAGCACCA
Molecule: non-coding RNA, 69 nt
Organism: Ictidomys tridecemlineatus (thirteen-lined ground squirrel)
Lineage: Eukaryota; Metazoa; Chordata; Mammalia; Rodentia; Sciuridae
Source: Rfam